RNAcentral lists this long non-coding RNA (273 nucleotides) under Rattus norvegicus (Norway rat). RNAcentral describes it as "partial Pvt1". The record is from RNAcentral. Lineage: Eukaryota; Metazoa; Chordata; Mammalia; Rodentia; Muridae.
AAGCCACACGGAUCCUCUUGUCUUGGUCUCCUGACAUUUGGAUUAAAGUCAUUUCCUGAAUCUAUGACAAGACUUGAGAGACCACCAAAGCCCAAGAGGUCUUGUUUCACAAGAGAAUCUUCAGGUGUUUUAGGCCUUUAUGACACAUCCCAAGCCCUUCAGAGAGCCACAAGAAUGGCCCAGAGGAAAUUCUAAACCACUAUGACUCAUGGGUCACCUGGAGGUGCAGGCCAUCGCUAUGUUAAACCUAUGAGGUGAUGAUAAACCACACAA